AGAGUUUGAUCAUGGCUCAGGAUAAACGCUGGCGGCGCACAUAAGACAUGCAAGUCGAACGGACUUAAUCGAUUCUUUUAGAUUCGAAGCGGUUAGUGGCGGACUGGUGAGUAACACGUAAGCAACCUGCCUAUUAGAGGGGAAUAACAGUGAGAAAUCACUGCUAAAACCGCAUAUGCCGUGAACAUCGCAUGAUGAAAACGGGAAAAGAGCAAUCUGCUAAUAGAUGGGCUUGCGUCUGAUUAGCUAGUUGGUGUGGUAAAGGCAUACCAAGGCAACGAUCAGUAGCCGCGG
Molecule: ribosomal RNA, 294 nt
Filed under: uncultured bacterium
Lineage: Bacteria
Description: partial 16S ribosomal RNA
Rfam family: Bacterial small subunit ribosomal RNA
Source: RNAcentral